UCACACACUCUGCAAUGAUAUCUUCAGUGUCUAAAAGGUGAUAGGGGAGUACGAUAAAAUAUCCCAAUAAGCGAUAUUAUGAAAUUAUAGCAUAGUACAUGCAAUAUAUAGUUUCUUUACACAACAAAACAUAUAUCAUAUAAUCUUUUCAAAACAUAUACGAAUUAGAAUAUGAAUGCACAAAUCAGAAAACAGAUUCAUGUUGU
This 206-nucleotide long non-coding RNA is filed under the name Carica papaya (papaya). Its description in RNAcentral is "long non-coding RNA (CPAP_LNC000120)". The record is from RNAcentral. Lineage: Eukaryota; Viridiplantae; Streptophyta; Magnoliopsida; Brassicales; Caricaceae.